AUCAAUCUGCACAGAAAUUUUAAUUCAUUAAUUCUAUAAGCUAUAACAAUAAUUCUUACCAUAAUGCAAAAAUUCAUUCUAGAAGGUCUGGCCGGCCUAUAGGUUCCAAUUCUCCAAUAAUACUAUGUCAAUUAUUUAGUAUCUAGAAAGAUCAUUUUGAGUGUAAUUAUGCAGGCCUUGCAUACAAUUAGUGCCAUUUACAAAGGUUAGCAGCAACAUGACACUCACUCAACCAUAUGUCCUUAGCCUUCUGAAAGGUAUUAGCGGCUGACUUCCUCAAAUCUGAGUCCAAAACCUUUACUUUGGUCCUUCAUUUUUACUGUGGUUGUUGAAUUCUCCACCGUGAACCUAGGCCUUUGGGACACAACUGGUAUUAUUUAUUUGAUAGAUAUUAUCAUAUUCUUAGUUUCAAAUAUAAUUUUAUAUUACUUGUAAUUUCAAUUUUUUCCUACUUGUAAUGUCAAUUUGCUCUCUAUAUGUACCAGAGUACAAUUAAAGAUGUAGUUAGAUCUAUUUUAUGUAGUGUUUAUUGAGUUGUUGAGCAGGGUGUUCAAAUGUACCCUGCCUUUGUUGUGCUUAUGUGGAAUUAAUUUGAAAUUCUAAAAAUUCAAAUUGCAACCAGUUUUGUAUUAAGUUGUUGGAUUUACUCUUUACUUGUAUCCUAAAACAAGUUUGUAAUUAAACAAGUUUGCCAAAUUGGGCAAGUUUGGUAUUGUAA
This is a long non-coding RNA of Quercus robur (English oak), 718 nucleotides long. RefSeq lists it as uncharacterized. The transcript is spliced from 2 exons. Lineage: Eukaryota; Viridiplantae; Streptophyta; Magnoliopsida; Fagales; Fagaceae. The record is from RefSeq and is a predicted model, not a curated record.